CUGACCGUGCAAAGGUAGCGUAAUCACUCGUCCUUUAAAUGGGGUCAAGUAUGAAAGGCUAAACGAGGGCUUAACUGUCUCCCCUCCCAGGUCAGUGAAAUUGAUCUAUCCGUGCAGAAGCGGGUGUGAAAAUACAAGACGAGAAGACCCUUUGGAGCUUUAGGUACAAGGUUUAACCACGUUAAGCAAGUCAAUAAAAACACAACCCCCGUGGCAACUAAGACUUUACCUUUGGUUGGGGCGACCACGGAGUAAAAUUAAGCCUCCGAGUGGACUGGGGGAUCCCUAAAACUAAGAGACACACCUCUAAGUCACAGAAAUUCUGACCAAAAAUGAUCCGGCCAUCAAGCCGAUCAACGAACCAAGUUACCCUAGGGAUAACAGCGCAAUCCUCUCCCAGAGCCCAUAUCGACGAGGGGGUUUACGACCUCGAUGUUGGAUCAGGACAUCCAAUGGUGCAGUUC
RNAcentral lists this ribosomal RNA (464 nucleotides) under Raiamas guttatus (Burmese trout). RNAcentral's name for it is "partial large subunit ribosomal RNA". It matches the Rfam family "Bacterial large subunit ribosomal RNA", at positions 1942 to 2564 of the family's 2925-position model. The record is from RNAcentral. Lineage: Eukaryota; Metazoa; Chordata; Actinopteri; Cypriniformes; Danionidae.